AUUGAACGCUGGCGGCAGGCCUAACACAUGCAAGUCGAGCGGAUGAAGGGAGCUUGCUCCUGGAUUCAGCGGCGGACGGGUGAGUAAUGCCUAGGAAUCUGCCUGGUAGUGGGGGAUAACGUCCGGAAACGGGCGCUAAUACCGCAUACGUCCUGAGGGAGAAAGUGGGGGAUCUUCGGACCUCACGCUAUCAGAUGAGCCUAGGUCGGAUUAGCUAGUUGGUGGGGUAAAGGCCUACCAAGGCGACGAUCCGUAACUGGUCUGAGAGGAUGAUCAGUCACACGGGAAGUGAGACAGGGCCCAGCCUCCUAGGGGGGGAGGCGGGGGGGAAUAUGGGAAAAGGGGCGAAAGCUUGACCCAGCAUGGCGGGGUGGGGAAGGAGGUUCUUCGAAUGGAAAACCUUUUUAGGUGGGGGGAAAGGGAAGUAAGUAAAUCCUUUGUUGUUUGGACGUACCAAAAAAAAAAAGCCCCGGCUACCUUGGUC
This 484-nucleotide ribosomal RNA is filed under the name uncultured bacterium. RNAcentral's name for it is "partial 16S ribosomal RNA". It matches the Rfam family "Bacterial small subunit ribosomal RNA", at positions 29 to 507 of the family's 1533-position model. The record is from RNAcentral.